Molecule: long non-coding RNA, 1231 nt
Organism: Dicentrarchus labrax (European seabass)
Lineage: Eukaryota; Metazoa; Chordata; Actinopteri; Moronidae
Exons: 3
Source: RefSeq, a predicted model, not a curated record
UGUUAGGCGUGGUGCCAAGCUCUGCAUGAAGUGUCACUUUUACUUCUUUUUGUAUUUUCAGUUUUUCGGUAAUUAAUGUGUUUCUUCCUGUUCUGGUGGCCUCAUGGUGACAACAGGGCAAAUGCCUGGACUCUCCUCGGGGAUCCUGGCAUUCUGCCUGUGAGCUUUUUUCAGCGGGAAGCAAAGCCAAAGAAAUCUGAGACAAAAAUGGGCUAAUCUGUCCCGCAAUGUGCAAGAGACAGCUAAAGAGUGACAGGAAAGGGGGGAAAGAGAGAUGAUGACACACAGCAAAGGACCACAGAUCUGAGUCAAACCCAGCAGGUCGCUGCAACAAAGACUCAGCCUUGGUACAUGGGGAACCAGCUCUACCAGGCUCCAGGCCUGGAGGGGCUGCAGGUGUACAUAACAUGAAUGCUCAGUCAUUUUGGUGUUAGAUGGCCCUAUCAACUUUCAGCAUGGGUUGUACCACACCAGAGGGUUCCCUGAACUGACAGGGCGCUGAGAGAUCUCCGAGUCCUCAUGAAGGGUGUGGAUAUUUUGCCUGUAAGCCUGGAAAGUCUGCAGUUGACUCAACACAAGUAGAAUUGUACCAGGACGAGCAAUGGCCCUGUUCCUGGCUUCUGAAUGGGACUGUGUGGAGAGCCUGCGGACCCACCCCCUUUCUCCAGAGCAAUGAUGGAGUCAGAAAGUAACAGCUGUGUUUCAUUGUUGUACUGGCAUCAGAUUAUUGAUGCUCAGGUGGCCUCUGGUCCUCUUUCGAGUAGCAAUGGUGAUAAGGCCUUGGCUGGUUCUGGUUCUGUUCACAGCCCGGCAGGUGAUGAAAUAUCCACAUGUCUGGUUUCCAGCCAAGGCGCUUGUCUGCACAUUCUCAGAGAACUUGAGCUCCAUCCAGUUAACAGGCUGGCUUUUGUACAUUUGAAUUUGAAGCUUAGAAAUUACCUCUGACUAUUAUCUGGUGAUGCACAUUUCUGGAGUCAACGUGAUAUAACUGACCACCUAUUCAAUUUUUUGUCUGACUUCUGGUUUGAGAAACAACUUCAAAAUCAGUACCAGCAAAUAAAAACCUUAUUGUGAUGCUAUAUUUUAAAUCUGGAAGAGAUUUAAAAUAGUGUAAAGUUUCAUCCAUUUUUGCUCCUACAGAUAUGCAAACAAAUGAAAACAAGCGUAACACUAGUAAGAUGCUACUUACAGUAUUACAGGCAGGGUUCUAGUAAUAAGAUAUGAUAUUACU